RNAcentral lists this long non-coding RNA (216 nucleotides) under Zostera marina. Its description in RNAcentral is "long non-coding RNA (ZMAR_LNC004700)". Lineage: Eukaryota; Viridiplantae; Streptophyta; Magnoliopsida; Alismatales; Zosteraceae. The record is from RNAcentral.
AAGACGAAGCGUCGCGUACCCGGAUUGGUCAGGAUUGGAUGGGCCGGGAGGCUCCCGAGGGAGCCCAGGAGCCGGUCCGUCGGGGGCCAGGGUGAAAGCCAGGGACCGACGCGGUCGACGAGGCGGGGGAGAAGCGCCCGUCGUAGGCUCGGCGGUAUCCAACGACCGAACGAUGUAGGAAGAGCGUGGUGGGGGAGUCCAGACGGGCCCACAGGC